This 72-nucleotide transfer RNA is filed under the name Loxodonta africana (African savanna elephant). It matches the Rfam family "tRNA". Rfam says of the family: Transfer RNA (tRNA) molecules are approximately 80 nucleotides in length. Their secondary structure includes four short double-helical elements and three loops (D, anti-codon, and T loops). Further hydrogen bonds mediate the characteristic L-shaped molecular structure. tRNAs have two regions of fundamental functional importance: the anti-codon, which is responsible for specific mRNA codon recognition, and the 3' end, to which the tRNAs corresponding amino acid is attached (by aminoacyl-tRNA synthetases). tRNAs cope with the degeneracy of the genetic code in two manners: having more than one tRNA (with a specific anti-codon) for a particular amino acid; and 'wobble' base-pairing, i.e. permitting non-standard base-pairing at the 3rd anti-codon position. Lineage: Eukaryota; Metazoa; Chordata; Mammalia; Proboscidea; Elephantidae. The record is from Rfam by way of RNAcentral.
GACAGUGAAGAAGACCUGGUAGCUGCUUGGCUGCUAACCAAAAGGUUGGUGGUUCGAGCCCACCCAGUGUCU